UACGUAGGGUGCAAGCGUUAAUCGGAAUUACUGGGCGUAAAGCGUGCGCAGGCGGUUGUGCAAGACAGAUGUGAAAUCCCCGGGCUCAACCUGGGAACUGCAUUUGUGACUGCAUAGCUGGAGUGCGGCAGAGGGGGAUGGAAUUCCGCGUGUAGCAGUGAAAUGCGUAGAUAUGCGGAGGAACACCGAUGGCGAAGGCAAUCCCCUGGGCCUGCACUGACGCUCAUGCACGAAAGCGUGGGGAGCAAACAGG
This 253-nucleotide ribosomal RNA is filed under the name uncultured bacterium. Its description in RNAcentral is "partial 16S ribosomal RNA". It matches the Rfam family "Bacterial small subunit ribosomal RNA", at positions 524 to 776 of the family's 1533-position model. The record is from RNAcentral.